UAAUAGCGUAUAUUAAAGUUGUUGCAGUUAAAAAGCUCGUAGUCGGAUGUCGGGCUCGGGCAGGCUGUCGGCUUCGGUCGGACGGCAGGCUCGGGUCUUUCUGCCUGAGGAUCCAUCUCAUUCACUUGGGGUGGGGACGCAGGCCGUUUACUUUGAAAAAAUUAGAGUGUUCAAAGCAGGCCUACGCUUGAAUACAUUAGCAUGGAAUAAUGGAAUAGGACUUUGGUGCUAUUUUGUUGGUUUAUGGGACCGAAGUAAUGAUUAACAGGGACAGUUGGGGCCGUUUAUAUUCCGUAGUCAGAGGUGAAAUUCUUGGAUUUACGGAAGAUAAACUACUGCGAAAGCAUUCGGCAAGGAUGUUUUCGUUAA
RNAcentral lists this ribosomal RNA (369 nucleotides) under uncultured eukaryote. Its description in RNAcentral is "partial 18S ribosomal RNA". It matches the Rfam family "Eukaryotic small subunit ribosomal RNA", at positions 592 to 976 of the family's 1831-position model. The record is from RNAcentral.